CCCCAUCUUCACUAGGCCCCGCCCCCGCCAGCCAGUCCAGAGCCGAGCCACUGGUUGGAUCAGCGCAUGCGCGCAGGGGUGGGGAUCACUUCCUCUUUGCCCCAUCCUUUCCCGGGUUGCCCGCAGCGACCUUCGUCCACACUCAGAGACCUAUAGCUGCUGGCUGGAGCAACGGUGCCACCUAGUGGUGAGCGUCAGUGCGACUCAGGAUGUCACGGCGGGGACCCCAGCCUCGAGGAGGUGCUUUCGGAGUCUGGGGUGGCGAUUCAGCACCAGUGUGAGCCGGACAGCGCCUCCACCCCUGGCCUUUGAACCCUGCUUCAGAGCCCCUAAGAAGAGAUUUUUUUUUUUUGGCCCACCGUGAAGGAACUCCAUAAGUCUUUGGUCCACUCCUAACAUUCCCAUAUGGCCUCCAGUUUGCAAAGCUGGUGUCUGGGGGCUCACUGCUCUCCUCUCUCUACGCAUCUCUUUCCUGCUGGUGGUAGGACACAAAGACAUUCAGGGCUGCAGAGAUGAGAGUAACAUAUUUGAUUAUCCAUGCUACAUCCAGUAGCCAGGUAAAGUUAUACUAAAGAAGGGAGGAGCCCCCAGAAGCGCUGGAAACGGAAUAGGUGAGUUUUUGCACAUCUGGAAACCUGCACAUCGAGCUGGGUCCCGCGGCCCGGGGUACACGUGUGCCGACAGGUGUUAGGACACACACGGGGCAGGUAGGAAGGCGCGAGGCUCGAGGGUGGCUUUAUGAUCCCGAGGAGCGAGCGGGUCGAAGGCGCUAGGACCGCGCGGAAUGCCGGGGUGGGCGGGGCUUCGCGGUGCGCGCGCAGCCGCAGACAGCGGCCCGAUGGAGCCCGAACCCGAACCCGGGUCGGUGGAGGUUCCCGCGGGGCGUGUGCUCAGGUGCUACCCGGCCCGGGGGAUGGCGUGGGGUGCGUGGGACCCGGGAGCGAGCGGGGUGGCCUCUGUGCUGAUCACGUGUUCCCGGCUCUCCCCAGCGCCUCGGAGCUCCGCGCCGCGCGCUCGCGGUCCCAGAAGCUACCACAGCGGUCGCAUGGCCCCAAGGACUUCCUCCCGGACGGCUCGGAGGCCCAGGCGGAGCGGCUGCGCCUGUGUCGCCAAGAGCUGUGGCAGCUGCUGGCGGAGGAGCGCGUGGAGCGCCUGGGCAGCUUGGUGGCCGCGGAGUGGAAACCAGAAGAGGGCUUUGUGGAGUUGACGUCUCCUGCGGGGAAAUUCUGGCAGACCAUGGGCUACUCAGAGGAAGGACGGCAGCGACUUCACCCCGAAGAGGCUUUGUAUCUGCUGGAGUGUGGUUCGAUUCAGCUCUUCUACCAAGACCUCCCACUGUCUAUCCAAGAGGCAUACCAGCUGCUGCUGACAGAGGACACCUUGAGUUUCCUGCAGUACCAGGUCUUCAGCCACCUGAAGAGACUGGGCUAUGUGGUUCGUCGGUUCCAGCUAAGCUCUGUCGUGUCACCUUACGAGCGGCAGCUUAAUUUGGAUGGUUAUGCCCAGUGCCUGGAGGAUGGGUCUGGCAAGAGGAAGAGGAGUUCCAGCUGUCGGUCUGUUAAUAAGAAGCCCAAGGUCCUGCAGAACUCCCUGCCGCCCGUCAGCCUGGCAGCCUCCAGCUCACCUGCCUGUGACCAGAGUAGCCAAUACCCAGAGGAGAAGUCUCAGGACUCAAGCCCCAGGCAGGGCUCAGAGCUCCCCUUGCAGUUCCUGGGGUCCUCAGAGCCUUGCUCUGAUCUGGCCAGGGAAGACGUGGGGUGUGACCGAGAGAGUCACAAAAUAGAGAAUGGAGCUAAGGGAACCCCUAAGCUACGCUGGAACUUUGAGCAGAUCUCAUUCCCCAACAUGGCCUCUGAUAGUCGCCACACUUUCCUGCCUGCUCCAGCCCCAGAGCUGCUCCCAGCCAAUGUCAUUGGGCGAGGGACAGAUGCUGAGUCCUGGUGCCAAAAGCUGAACCAGCGGAGGGAGAAGCUCUCCCGUAGAGACCGGGAACAGCAAGCAGUGGUCCAGCAGUUCCGGGAGGAUGUUAACGCAGAUCCCGAGGUGCGGGGCUGCUCCAGCUGGCAGGAGUACAAGGAGCUGCUGCAGAGGCGACAGACGCAGAAGAGCCAGCCCCGGCCUCCACACCUAUGGGGCCAGUCCGUUACCCCCUUGCUCGACCCUGAUAAAGCCGAUUGUCCAGAUCUGGUGAUCCUAACCUGGGUAGCAGAUCAGUCAGUAUCACGGGAGUGUGUAGAAGGCUGACUCCCUUCCUCAACAUCUUGUAGCCGCGGUCCUGCAACAUAUCUCUGUACUGCAGACGACACACCUUGCUGAUGGAGGUUACCGGCUGCUGGAGAAGUCUGGAGGCUUGCAGAUCAGCUUCGAUGUUUACCAGGCUGACGCUGUGGCGACGUUCCGAAAAAACAGCCCUGGCAAACCCUAUGUGCGAAUGUGCAUUAGUGGGUUUGAUGACCCUGUCCCAGACCUCUGCAGCCUCAAGUGCUUGACCUACCAGAGUGGGGAUGUUCCCCUGAUCUUUGCUCUAGUGGACCACGGUGACAUCUCCUUCUACAGCUUCAGAGACUUCACACUGCCCAGGGAUCUGGGCCACUGAAUACAGCUCUGGGGAUGGCUUGCUCUGGGGGGGCCUGGACUGCUCUCAGGGGCCGUGCCAGCUGUCUCUCAUAUAGGACUCACCUGGAUGGAACCGUCCAGGCCAUUGGGGUCUGUGAUCCUAGGUGUCUUCUGUUUGUAGGGACGUGCACACCCUCUUGCCUGGCCACUGUGCUUUCAAGCCCACUGCCUGGAAGUGCUGCCUGACAGUGACGCCCCCACCCCCACCCCCCUUGGAACUCAGGACUUGUUUUCAGAGGCCCAGGACUUGGGUUAGGAGAAAGGACUGUGCCUUUAUUCAAGGGGGUGCUUGCUUCGUGCCAUAAAGCCAAAGCCAUUAAAAAAAUAUAUAUUUUC
Mus musculus (house mouse) is the source of this 2952-nucleotide RNA transcript. It is a transcript of the gene named tRNA splicing endonuclease subunit 54, with no coding region annotated. Lineage: Eukaryota; Metazoa; Chordata; Mammalia; Rodentia; Muridae. The transcript has 11 exons. The record is from RefSeq and is marked validated.